CGUGCCCCGUAGCGGGGGAUAACCAGUCGAAAGACUGGCUAAUACCGCAUACGCUCUACGGAGGAAAGCAGGGGAUCGCAAGACCUUGCACUAUGGGAGCGGCCGAUGCCCGAUUAGCUAGUUGGUGAGGUAAAGGCUCACCAAGGCGACGAUCGGUAGCUGGUCUGAGAGGACGACCAGCCACACUGGGACUGAGACACGGCCCAGACUCCUACGGGAGGCAGCAGUGGG
This 231-nucleotide ribosomal RNA is filed under the name uncultured beta proteobacterium. Its description in RNAcentral is "partial 16S ribosomal RNA". It matches the Rfam family "Bacterial small subunit ribosomal RNA", at positions 125 to 358 of the family's 1533-position model. The record is from RNAcentral. Lineage: Bacteria; Pseudomonadati; Pseudomonadota; Betaproteobacteria.